GGAGAGGUUUGUGCUUGUUGGGAUAUUGUGUGCUCAUGUGAUGGUUGCCUUAAGGCCUACUAUAUUAGAUGCUCUGAAAAUGUUGGAAGGAGAUAUUGAAGUUCCAUCCAUUCCCGAUCGGCCAAUGCCUCUUAGCCAUCCUUCCUCUUUUGGUGAUGGUAAUAACUUCAGCAUCUCCCCAGCACUGAGCUUUCCACGAGUGAAUAUUGG
This 210-nucleotide unclassified non-coding RNA is filed under the name Hevea brasiliensis (rubber tree). The record is from RNAcentral. Lineage: Eukaryota; Viridiplantae; Streptophyta; Magnoliopsida; Malpighiales; Euphorbiaceae.